CCUACGGGAGGCAGCAGUGGGGAAUUUUGGACAAUGGGCGCAAGCCUGAUCCAGCAAUGCCGCGUGCAGGAUGAAGGCCUUCGGGUUGUAAACUGCUUUUGUACGGAACGAAACGGUGAGCUCUAAUAAAGUUUGCUAAUGACGGUACCGUAAGAAUAAGCACCGGCUAACUACGUGCCAGCAGCCGCGGUAAUACGUAGGGUGCGAGCGUUAAUCGGAAUUACUGGGCGUAAAGCGUGCGCAGGCGGUUAUAUAAGACAGAUGUGAAAUCCCCGGGCUCAACCUGGGACCUGCAUUUGUGACUGUAUAGCUAGAGUACGGUAGAGGGGGAUGGAAUUCCGCGUGUAGCAGUGAAAUGCGUAGAUAUGCGGAGGAACACCGAUGGCGAAGGCAAUCCCCUGGACCUGUACUGACGCUCAUGCACGAAAGCGUGGGGAGCAAACAGGAUUAGAUACCCUGGUAGUCCACGCCCUAAACGAUGUCAACUGGUUGUUGGGUCUUCACUGACUCAGUAACGAAGCUAACGCGUGAAGUUGACCGCCUGGGGNGCGCGCGAGUAGAGAGAAGAGUAGNGNGNGAGAGNGCGACGACGACGACGAGGGAGGAGG
This 608-nucleotide ribosomal RNA is filed under the name uncultured bacterium. RNAcentral describes it as "bacterial SSU rRNA". The stretch from base 1 to 542 matches the Rfam family "Bacterial small subunit ribosomal RNA", at positions 338 to 873 of the family's 1533-position model. The record is from RNAcentral.